This 73-nucleotide transfer RNA is filed under the name Heliomicrobium modesticaldum Ice1. RNAcentral describes it as "Heliobacterium modesticaldum Ice1 tRNA". It matches the Rfam family "tRNA". From Rfam's summary of the family: Transfer RNA (tRNA) molecules are approximately 80 nucleotides in length. The record is from Rfam by way of RNAcentral. Lineage: Bacteria; Bacillati; Bacillota; Clostridia; Eubacteriales; Heliobacteriaceae.
GACGGCAUCGUCGAGUGGUAAGGCAAAGGUCUGCAAAGCCUUUAUUCCCCGGUUCGAGUCCCGGGUGCCGUCU